This 569-nucleotide small RNA is filed under the name fungal sp. JH 32. Its description in RNAcentral is "eukaryotic LSU rRNA". The stretch from base 210 to 363 matches the Rfam family "5.8S ribosomal RNA". Lineage: Eukaryota; Fungi. The record is from RNAcentral.
CUUCCGUAGGGUGAACCUGCGGAAGGAUCAUUAAAAAAAAGAGAAACGUCCCGUUUUUUUCAUAAGAAUGGGUUCUAUUCCCUUAAACCGUGUCUACAUACCUUUGUUGCUUUGGCAGGCCGCCUUCGGGCGUCGGCUCCGGCUGAUAGUGCCUGCCAGAGGACCCAAACUCUAUGUUUAGUGAUGUCUGAGUACUAUAUAAUAUUUAAAACUUUCAACAACGGAUCUCUUGGUUCUGGCAUCGAUGAAGAACGCAGCGAAAUGCGAUAAGUAAUGUGAAUUGCAGAAUUCAGUGAAUCAUCGAAUCUUUGAACGCACAUUGCGCCCCUUGGUAUUCCGAGGGGCAUGCCUGUUCGAGCGUCAUUAUAACCACUCAAGCCUGGCUUGGUAUUGGGGUUUUCGCGUGUUCGCGGCCCUUAAAAUCAGUGGCGGUGCCGUCUGGCCCUAAGCGUAGUAAUUUCUCUCGCUAUAGGGUUCCGGUGGUUACUUGCCAAAACCCCCCAUUUUUUCUAGGUUGACCUCGGAUCAGGUAGGGAUACCCGCUGAACUUAAGCAUAUCAAUAAGCGGA